UAUGGGAGCGCAUCUCGCGAACGUGAUGACGUAGGUAGCGCGGUCGUCCGCCUCACCGCAACAGUGGUCUGGUGCCCUUGAGCGGAGACUGACUCUCACAGACGUAGCUAUCCAGCUAACGACAGCGGACACUCGUUCAUAGUGCGUAGGCGUGUAGCUCACUUUUUACCACGUUUCGUUUUUCCACAACAAAAGGCCAUCUGGAGUUUGUCUUAUGUUUUGGUGAAAACAACGAGGGUUCAUUUUUCAGGAGUGCACUGUUUAGCCUUUUGUUUCAUGCUAUUUAGCUCUUUUUUAGAUGCUUUUUUAGCUAGUCUGGUAGCUAGCUACCACGUUUUUCCACAUCAAAAAGCCCUCUGGAGUUUCACUUUUUAAUUCUUCUUGGUGCAAGCAAAGCUGUUUCGUUUUUUCAGCAAUACCUACAAGUGUCUUCCUCAACAAAGACCUCUGAAGAAAGAGGAUUCGUUUCUACAGAAAUGGCUGCGUUUGGUGAUUCUACAAAGAGCUGGGACAACGUGGCUGUGUUA
Long non-coding RNA from Perca flavescens (yellow perch), 527 nucleotides. RefSeq lists it as uncharacterized. NCBI's taxonomy places the organism in Eukaryota, Metazoa, Chordata, Actinopteri, Perciformes, Percidae. The record is from RefSeq and is a predicted model, not a curated record. The transcript is spliced from 3 exons.